Vicia faba (fava bean) is the source of this 264-nucleotide non-coding RNA. Lineage: Eukaryota; Viridiplantae; Streptophyta; Magnoliopsida; Fabales; Fabaceae. The record is from the annotation of a GenBank genome assembly.
AUGGCAUAUGCUUCAUUCUCUUUCUUGUUAUGUUAUCACUUCUACGCCAUUAUCAAUAGUUUAGUUACACUUCGAAGGGGGGAAAUGAUAGGAGAGUUUGAUUUAUUUAUCACUAUUGUCUCAGGUUGCGAAUAUGAUAUCAAUGAUUUGUAUCACGAAGCUCAAAGGAGAUGGCUGAAGCCUGCAGAAGUGUUGUACAUUUUACAGAAUAAUGUAAAGUACCAGUUCACUCAAGAGCCACCGCAACAGCCAACAAGUUGCUGA